Molecule: ribosomal RNA, 429 nt
Filed under: Triticum aestivum (bread wheat)
Lineage: Eukaryota; Viridiplantae; Streptophyta; Magnoliopsida; Poales; Poaceae
Description: partial small subunit ribosomal RNA
Source: RNAcentral
AUGGUACAGAGAAGAGCUCACGGAAGAGAAAACUUGGUGAUUUCACCCAAGCCGCCCAGAAUCCUUCCGCCACCGGCAGACGAGCAGCACCACCAGACCUCCUCCCUCGCCUCCGCCAUAGGUCCAACCAGCCCCGAGCGUGCUGGCCGGCUGCUAGAUCUGGCGAGCAACCGAGCCGCCACUGCAUGCCAGCCCUGCAGCCCGCCGUCGCUCCCAGUCACCCACCGGGAGGGGCUCCACCACCACUGCACCGGUACUCCGCUCCGGCCCCGUGAGCCGAUGAGCAGGCCGCCGCCGCCCCAGCCGCAACAGCAAACACACACACCGAUGCUGCCAGAAUUUCUUGCGCCACCUUUGGCAGCCGGGAAGUGGCUGGGUGGUGAGGUGGAUGCAGAGGAGGAGGAGGAGGAGCGCUUGAUGGUGAGGUAG